CUGGUCAGUACCUGGAUGGUAGACCUCUUGGGAAAACUAG
This 40-nucleotide ribosomal RNA is filed under the name Sinocyclocheilus anshuiensis. Lineage: Eukaryota; Metazoa; Chordata; Actinopteri; Cypriniformes; Cyprinidae. The record is from RNAcentral.